Molecule: ribosomal RNA, 460 nt
Filed under: uncultured bacterium
Lineage: Bacteria
Description: partial 16S ribosomal RNA
Rfam family: Bacterial small subunit ribosomal RNA
Source: RNAcentral
CCUACGAGAGGCAGCAGUGAGGAAUAUUGGUCAAUGGACGAGAGUCUGAACCAGCCAAGUAGCGUGCAGGAUGACUGCCCUAUGGGUUGUAAACUUCUUUUAUAUGGGAAUAAAAUGUUCCACGUGUGGGAUUUUGUAUGUACCAUAUGAAUAAGGAUCGGUUAACUCCGUGCCAGCAGCCGCGGUAAUACGGAGGAUCCGAGCGUUAUCCGGAUUUAUUGGGGUUAAAGGGAGCGUAGGUGGAUUGUUAAGUCAGUUGUGAAAGUUUGCGGCUCAACCGUAAAAUUGCAGUUGAAAAUGGCAGUCGUGAGUACAGUAGAGGUGGGUGGAAUUCGUGGUGUAGCGGUGAAAUGCUUAGAUAUCACGAAGAACUCCGAUUGCGAAGGCAGCUCACUGGACUGCAACUGACACUGAGGCUCGAAAGUGUGGGUAUCAAACAGGAUUAGAUACCCUGGUAGUC